RNAcentral lists this small RNA (26 nucleotides) under Arabidopsis thaliana (thale cress). RNAcentral's name for it is "ATSL172180". Lineage: Eukaryota; Viridiplantae; Streptophyta; Magnoliopsida; Brassicales; Brassicaceae. The record is from RNAcentral.
UUUUUUGUUUGUUUUUUCGGGUUUUC